UGUCAAGUGCUAUUAGCGUCAUUUCGGCGGGUGGAUUUCUUUUGCCUUGUGGAAGGUGAAAGAAAAUG
Molecule: regulatory RNA element, 68 nt
Rfam family: S-element
About the family: This family represents a group of S-elements from p42d and related plasmids. The S-element has multiple functions and is believed to act as a negative regulator of repC transcription, be required for efficient replication and act as a translational enhancer of repC.
Source: Rfam